RNAcentral lists this ribosomal RNA (305 nucleotides) under uncultured bacterium. Its description in RNAcentral is "bacterial SSU rRNA". It matches the Rfam family "Bacterial small subunit ribosomal RNA", at positions 335 to 636 of the family's 1533-position model. The record is from RNAcentral.
UUUCCUACGGGGCGCAGCAGUGAGGAAUAUUGGUCAAUGGUCGGGAGACUGAACCAGCCAAGCCGCGUGAGGGAUGAAGGUACAGAGUAUCGUAAACCUCUUUUGUCAGGGAACAAAGGCGUCCACGAGUGGACGAAAGGAGAGUACCUGAAGAAAAAGCAUCGGCUAACUCCGUGCCAGCAGCCGCGGUAAUACGUAGGGAGCGAGCGUUGUCCGGAAUUACUGGGUGUAAAGGGAGCGUAGGCGGGACGGCAAGUCAGAUGUGAAAACUGAGGGCUCAACCUUCAGACUGCAUUUGAAACUGC